GAGCCGCCCUCGGCCAGCGCUGCAGGUUUGUUUCGUGCGCACCUCCGGGCGGAAUUACCGGCCGGCUGGGACCCCGCUCCCGGUCUGAGCCACCCAGGUUAUAGAAGGGGAAUCUCGGGAAGCUUUCCAAGUCACUGCCCACGUCUUCGAACUUCCUCGGGGUGACGAGGACCUCCCUAUUAGGAGGUCCAGAGAGAAUUUGCCCAAAGUUACCCCGAGUGAGUGACAGAACUGGAAACCCGGAGAUCCUGUCUUUCAAAACCGGAAGGCUCUUCCCAGUAAACCUGACGGCCUCUGACUGAGGCCGUAUCCAUUGGCUACCAAAGGGAAGGCCGAGGAACCUCGUAUUGUAACCUUAACAGCUACUCAGAGGCCCCAGCUUAUAAAUCUAUGAAGGUGUCCAGGUCCUGCCAGACUCCGCUGCAUCUUUUGCUUUCACUCCAGCAGGGUAGCAGCAUGCUGCCUGUGCCAAGGCAAUCACUAAAAGGAAAGGAUUUAAUGCUGUCAAAAAAGCUUAUGCCAGCUUAGGCUGCAGGAAGAGGAACAGUGUCAAGUAUGUUGAAAGUGGACAUAUUGGUCAGACCUCCAUGAGAGCCUAGGGGGCAUUGCUUAGCAGCACGCUUUUAAAGGAAUCUGAACAAACCAGCAUGUGGAAAGAAGAGAGUAACCACAGCAAUCAGGAAACAACUGUACAAUCUAGGGCCAUUUCAUUGGAAAAACAGAAGUCUCCAGGGAGCUGCAGUCAUCAAACAGGCUUAUUCUGUGUACCCAGUGGGCAAGUACAGUCAAUGGAUGAAAAUUCAACCAAUGGACAAACACAGGAAGUUUUUCCUUAACAUGAGUUGUCAGAAACUGUCCAAAAUUCCAAAGAGCUGCCUCAAGGUAGUGGAAAUUUUUUUUUUUUUUUAAUCAGGAAGGUGCUGAAUGAAGCCAGCAAGGAUUCUGUGUCAGAGGGUGGUAGAUACCCAGGACAUAAGGUUGAACCACGUGACCUCUGAGACCACAGUUCUAAGCUGUUGAAACCUCAGUCCCUGCUGAAUACUGAAAUGGUAUUAGCACCCUUUAGUCUACAUCAAGAAUUCGUUCUACCCAGUUUUGGUGGUACCAAGACUGAUCUCUUUCUCAUAGAUAAUUCUUAACAGAAUAAAAGCUACAGGUUGAAACCAAUUCCCUUUAAAAUGUGGACAGUUGACCAUCUCCAUGAUAGGUAGUUAGGCACUGAAUUAAUGCUUUUUAAUGGAAGAGCCACCCUAAGAUUCCUGGAGUGUGGUAUAAUGGAGUACUAAAUCAGCAUAGGACUAAUAACUGCCUCCCGUGUAAACUGGUCUAUCCGGAGAGUGGUAUAGCCUCUCAUACAGUGUUCAAAGGCAGAUUUAACUCACUGCAGGUCCACAGCAACCGAUAAGAUAAACUCGUUGGUUAUGGUCUCCCACUUUGCAAAGGAGAGCACAGAGGAAGAGGAAACUGAGAUAACUUGGUUUAGGACCCCACAGCUGGCUGGAGCUGGGCUGAACAUUAGUUCAUUGUUUCUUCGAUUAAUCUAUGCUGCUUUUUCUCUACUUGGCUCCUUUUCUAAAUUAAACAAAACAAAACAAAAAA
This is a long non-coding RNA of Homo sapiens (human), 1599 nucleotides long. Ensembl annotates it as DLG1 antisense RNA 1. Its record names the gene DLG1-AS1. The record is from Ensembl. NCBI's taxonomy places the organism in Eukaryota, Metazoa, Chordata, Mammalia, Primates, Hominidae.